CAGCCGCCGCGGGAAUACGAAGGGGGCUAGCGUUGUUCGGAUUUACUGGGCGUAAAGCGCACGUAGGCGGAUCCUUAAGUCAGAGGUGAAAGCCCGGGGCUCAACCCCGGAUGUGCCUUUGAGACUGCAGGGCUAGAACGUCGGAGAGGUGAGUGGAAUUCCGAGUGUAGAGGUGAAAUUCGUAGAUAUUCGGAAGAACACCAGUGGCGAAGGCGGCUCACUGGACGACUGUUGACGCUGAGGUGCGAAAGCGUGGGGAGCAAACAGGAUUAGAUACCCCCGUAGUCCCUGUCUCUUAUAC
This 301-nucleotide ribosomal RNA is filed under the name uncultured bacterium. Its description in RNAcentral is "partial 16S ribosomal RNA". It matches the Rfam family "Bacterial small subunit ribosomal RNA", at positions 509 to 807 of the family's 1533-position model. The record is from RNAcentral.